This 249-nucleotide ribosomal RNA is filed under the name uncultured bacterium. RNAcentral describes it as "partial 16S ribosomal RNA". It matches the Rfam family "Bacterial small subunit ribosomal RNA", at positions 110 to 354 of the family's 1533-position model. The record is from RNAcentral.
GUAACACGUAGGUAACCUGCCCAUGUGCCCGGGAUAACUUCUGGAAACGGAUGCUAAAACCGGAUAGGUAGCAGACAAGCAUUUGACUGCUAUUAAAGUGGCUAAGGCCAUGAACAUGGAUGGACCUGCGGUGCAUUAGCUAGUUGGUGAGGUAACGGCCCACCAAGGCGACGAUGCAUAGCCGGCCUGAGAGGGCGGACGGCCACAUUGGGACUGAGACACGGCCCAAACUCCUACGGGAGGCAGCAG